RNAcentral lists this ribosomal RNA (492 nucleotides) under uncultured bacterium. RNAcentral describes it as "partial 16S ribosomal RNA". It matches the Rfam family "Bacterial small subunit ribosomal RNA", at positions 29 to 507 of the family's 1533-position model. The record is from RNAcentral.
AGUGAACGCUGGCGGUAGGCCUAACACAUGCAAGUCGAACGGCAGCACAGUAAGAGCUUGCUCUUACGGGUGGCGAGUGGCGGACGGGUGAGGAAUACAUCGGAAUCUACUUUUUCGUGGGGGAUAACGUAGGGAAACUUACGCUAAUACCGCAUACGACCUACGGGUGAAAGCAGGGGAUCUUCGGACCUUGCGCGAUUGAAUGAGCCGAUGUCGGAUUAGCUAGUUGGCGGGGUAAAGGCCCACCAAGGCGACGAUCCGUAGCUGGUCUGAGAGGAUGAUCCGCCACCCUGGAACUUGAAAGCGGCCCCGGCCCCUAAGGGAGGCAGCAGUGGGGAAUAUUGGACAAAGGGCGCAAGCCUGAUCCAGCCAUACCGCGUGGGUGAAGAAGGCCUUCGGGUUGUAAAGCCCUUUUGUUGGGAAAGAAAAGCAGCAGGUUAAUACCCCGCUGUUCUGACGGUACCCAAAGAAUAAGCACCGGCUAACUUCGUG